Molecule: ribosomal RNA, 468 nt
Filed under: uncultured bacterium
Lineage: Bacteria
Description: partial 16S ribosomal RNA
Rfam family: Bacterial small subunit ribosomal RNA
Source: RNAcentral
GACGAACGCUGGCGGCGUGCUUAACACAUGCAAGUCGAACGGAAAGGCCCUGCUUUUGUGGGGUGCUCGAGUGGCGAACGGGUGAGUAACACGUGAGUAACCUGCCCUUGACUUUGGGAUAACUUCAGGAAACUGGGGCUAAUACCGGAUAGGAGCUCCUGCUGCAUGGUGGGGGUUGGAAAGUUUCGGCGGUUGGGGAUGGACUCGCGGCUUAUCAGCUUGUUGGUGGGGUAGUGGCUUACCAAGGCUUUGACGGGUAGCCGGCCUGAGAGGGUGACCGGCCAGAUGGGGACUGGGAUACGGCCCAGCCUGCUGCGGGAGGCAGCAGUGGGGGAUGUUGCACGAGGGGCGGAGGCCUGAUGCAGCAACGCCGCGUGCGGGAUGACGGCCUUCGGGUUGUAGACCGCUUUCGCCUGUGACGAAGCGUGAGUGACGGUAAUGUGUAAAGAAGCACCGGCUAACUACGUG